CGUAGGGUGCGAGCGUUAAUCGGAAUUACUGGGCGUAAAGCGUGCGCAGGCGGUUUGUUAAGAUAGGCGUGAAAUCCCCGGGCUCAACCUGGGAACUGCGCUUAUGACUGGCAAGCUAGAGUACGGCAGAGGGGGUGGAAUUCCACGUGUAGCAGUGAAAUGCGUAGAGAUGUGGAGGAACACCAAUGGCGAAGGCAGCCCCCUGGGUCGAUACUGACGCUCAUGCACGAAAGCGUGGGUAACAAACAGGAUUAGAUACCCUGGUAGUCCACGCCCUAAACGAUGUCAACUAGGUGUUGGGAGGGUAAAACCUUUUAGUACCGGAGCUAACGCGUGAAGUUGACCGCCUGGGGAGUACGGCCGCAAGGUUA
RNAcentral lists this ribosomal RNA (371 nucleotides) under uncultured organism. RNAcentral's name for it is "bacterial SSU rRNA". It matches the Rfam family "Bacterial small subunit ribosomal RNA", at positions 526 to 896 of the family's 1533-position model. The record is from RNAcentral.